AUACGGAGGAUGCAAGCGUUAUCCGGAUUUAUUGGGUUUAAAGGGUGCGUAGGCGGACCCUUAAGUCAGCGGUGAAAUACCCCGGCUCAACCGGGGGGCUGCCGUUGAUACUGGGGGUCUCGAGGGCGAACGGCGCCGGCGGAAUGUGUCAUGUAGCGGUGAAAUGCAUAGAUAUGACACAGAACACCGAUCGCGAAGGCAGCUGGCGAGGACGCGACUGACGCUGAUGCACGAAGGUGCGGGGAUCAAACAGGAUUAGAUACCCUGGUAGUCCGCACAGUAAACGAUGAUGACUUGUUGUCGGCGAUAGACAGCCGGUGACAAAGCGAAAGCGAUAAGUCAUCCACCUGGGGAGUACGAUCGCAAGGUUGAAACUCAAAUGAAUUGGCGGGG
RNAcentral lists this ribosomal RNA (393 nucleotides) under uncultured bacterium. RNAcentral's name for it is "partial 16S ribosomal RNA". It matches the Rfam family "Bacterial small subunit ribosomal RNA", at positions 523 to 918 of the family's 1533-position model. The record is from RNAcentral.